RNAcentral lists this unclassified non-coding RNA (219 nucleotides) under Hevea brasiliensis (rubber tree). The record is from RNAcentral. Lineage: Eukaryota; Viridiplantae; Streptophyta; Magnoliopsida; Malpighiales; Euphorbiaceae.
GGUGGAUUGGUACAUGAGCUCACAAUUCUCACAGCAAUUCCUCAAUCCAUGCAAAAGCAUCACCACUUCCUAAGAAAAGCUGCUACCACAUGAUGAUGGACAAAAGAGCAAUGGCUACAAAAGGGCAAUCAUAUUUAUACCCAUAUGUUCUUCAACUCAAAUUUGCAUCAUAUUUAUCCUAUUACUUAACAACCCCAUGAUAUCAAAAUAUGGUAUUCU